ACUGUAAUCAUUAUCAUUUCAUAUUAGUUCCAUUUCAUACUUAUAAUCAAUUUAAACAUCAUUCUACAACCACAAUCACAAAACUCUUAUACUUAACCUAUACAUCACUUAGGUACAUGCCACAUUAUCAAAAUAAAGGUACAUCACUAAAAUUCCUCUGAGGUCGGGAUUACUCUGGAUGCUGAACCGAACACUGGUUUUCUACUAACCUGCGCACGGAAACAACCGUACGCUGAGUAUGGGAAUACUCGGUGGUAUUACCAUAAUUCAAAUUAAUAACAUUAAUCGAUAAAUUAUAUGCAUUUAAUUUAUGUCUACAAUUAUUCGUUAAUUGUCUCGUACUUUAAAUCAACUUGAUAAUUAAUAACAAUAAGCAAUAUUUCAAUCUUGUAUUUAAUUGUAUUCAUACCUUAUUUCACUAUCUCAAUUCUAUUGGAUUUUUCAACAUCUCAUUCUAAUAACUCAUUUCAAUUCAUACAAAUUCAAUCAAUUUAUCAACUCAUUCAUUAUCAUUUCUAUUUAUAUUCAAUUUAUACUUUAAAUCUUUUAAUAAUCAAAUUAAAACAUUUAGACCAAUAUGUUUCAAUAAUAAUAAUAUCUAAUUUUAUAAAAUUGUAUUCAAAUCAACUCAUACACUAUUUCUUAAUUCAAUUUAUACCAUUAAUCUUUCAAUAAACAUUUAAUACAUUAAAUCAACUUGUUUCAACAACAAUAAUAAUAAUAACUAUCUUUUAAUUCGAUUCGUUCAUUUAUAAUCAAUUUACACUUAUAAUCUUUUAACACUCAAUUUAUUCAUUAGAUCCAUAAAUAAAUUUCAAUAACUUGUAUUCAAUUAAAUUCACAUAUUAUUUCACUAUUUCAAAUCAUUUUAUUUUCACUUCUCAUUUCUCAACAAUAGCUAUUUCAAUUUGCUUUUCUUUACUUAUAUUUUUACAUCAUCUCAUACUACCAAAACCAUUUCAUGAACUAUAUCCUUAUCUAUUUCUUGAACCCAUGGUUCAUACAUUUCAUUUCCAUAUCUCGAUUUAAUAUUUUAUUUCAAUUCAUAUUCAAGAUCAUUCAAUAAAAUUUAUAUUAUCAAAAUUAUUCAUUUACCCCUAUUAACUUGACUCGGACUUUGGCGGAUACACGGAUCCAACCAAACACACCAGAAUGGCACCCAAUGCCUCAUCAGAUAGUUCGAAGCAAUAAAGUGACACCCAGUGUCUCAUCGACCAAGCCGAAGUAAGUUGGUACCCAGUACCUCAUCGAAUCUAUCCGAAGUAACAGUAUGACACCCAGUGUCUCAUCGACUCAAGGUCGAAGUAUCCCUGAACACUUCCAAUCCUAUGGCAUGCCAACUAUAUCCGACUCAACUCAACUAGUUAAUAGGGAAUUCAAAUCAUUUUUCUAUUUCAAAAUUACUUUCGAUUCAAUCACAAUUCAAUUCAGAUUCACUUCCCACUUUCUAAUCAAUAUACAAUUCAAUACCAAUACAUAUUUCAGAUAUUCACGUACAAUCAUACUUCGAUUCAAUUCAAACCACUUUUCAAUCUGUACUCAUUUCACAUAUUCACACAUAAUCAUAAUUUAAUUCACUUUUAUUCAAUUCAUAUUUUUAAUUCAUUUAAUUCAAUAUCGAUAUUCACCUUAUUUUUAUUUACUAAACAUAUUAUUCAAAAUUCAACAAUUGCUAUUAAUAAAUUCAAUACUAAUACGUAUUUAUCAUUUAAUUCGAUCAUGAUACUUACCUCAAUUUGCUUAUCAUGUAUAUUAAUUUUAAAUUUAACAAUUAAUAAUUAAAUUCGAAUUAUGGUAAUACUAACCGAAAUUUCUCUCGAGUCAAUCCUUGUCCAUCUUCUCCUUUCCUUUCUCGGACAAUGACUCUUGCACGAUAUUAGCUACGUAAUUAGACAAUUAAAAAUCAUUAAUACUCAAUUUCAUUAAAAUAUUUCUAUUUGUACCUAAACUUUACCCAAAUUCUAAUUUAAUCCCUUAUCAAUAUUAAUUUUAUUUUCCCAAUCUAACUCCAUAUUCUCUCUUAAUUCUUACUAUAAACUCAUUUUAACUCUUCAUUUUCACAAUAAAUCUCUAAUUUCGAAAUUCUCUCAAUUUAGUCCCUAUUAAUUCAAAACCUAUAAUUUAUUUUACAAUUCAACCUUUUACUAACUUCUAACUUGAAAUUCAAUCAAUUUAACACCUAAUUCAUCAAUUAAUUCUACAUGAACAACAUUUAAAAAUUUGCUAACUUUCAAAAUUUCAACUUAAAUCAAAUAGUAUUUUGUUCUAGGAUUCCAAAAAUAUCAAAGUUAUAAGAAAAAUGGACUAAAUUGACUUACCAAUUGAAUUUAGAAGUUUUGAAACCCCUGAACCGUGGCUCUCUUUCUUUUUCUUCUUUCUCUUUUUCUUUCUCAAUUUUCGUUUUGCUUCUCUGUUUCUUUCUUUCUCUUUUGUAUUCUUUCUUUUGUUAUAUAUAUAUAUAUAAAAUAUAAUAUAAUAUAUUAAUAA
This 2487-nucleotide long non-coding RNA is filed under the name Gossypium barbadense (sea-island cotton). Its description in RNAcentral is "long non-coding RNA (GBAR_LNC017602)". Lineage: Eukaryota; Viridiplantae; Streptophyta; Magnoliopsida; Malvales; Malvaceae. The record is from RNAcentral.